Long non-coding RNA from Centruroides sculpturatus (bark scorpion), 503 nucleotides. RefSeq lists it as uncharacterized. The record is from RefSeq and is a predicted model, not a curated record. The transcript has 3 exons. Lineage: Eukaryota; Metazoa; Arthropoda; Arachnida; Scorpiones; Buthidae.
AUUUGAAAAUUCAAUUCGAUUUUUUUUUCCGUUGGAAGUCAAUUUCAAGGCAUUGAAUUUUAUGAAAAAAUUUCAAGAAAAUGAAAUCGGAAUAAGUUGUGGAGGAUUUUUUAUUUUUUCUACAAAAUUUCCAAUUCAGAUAUACCAAUCGCUGUAUAACGUAUUCAAUAUAUUACUUCAGAUACGAGAUAUUUUUGAAGGAAUCGACAAAUCGUGUAAACCAAUUACAAAACCAUUAAUUAAUGCCACUAAAAGUCCCAACGUUUAGUUGAAUAACGUAUAGUAUAGAAGAAUUUACACGAAUAGCACUAUUGUUUUAUAUUAAUUGUAUAGAUUUCUUGUAUUAAUGUUUUCGAGUAAUAAAUUAGUUAACUGAUUUAGCAACGUGUCCUCUGCAUAAAAAGCAUGUGAAUUAGCCAUCAAGUCAGGAUCUCUGGUAUCAGUAUAGACUAGCAUUCUAAUUGCUACAUCAAUCGUAAUGAGUGGUUGAUAAAUUUUUAAUC